Eriocheir sinensis (Chinese mitten crab) is the source of this 342-nucleotide long non-coding RNA. RefSeq lists it as uncharacterized. The record is from RefSeq and is a predicted model, not a curated record. NCBI's taxonomy places the organism in Eukaryota, Metazoa, Arthropoda, Malacostraca, Decapoda, Varunidae. The transcript is spliced from 2 exons.
CCCUGCUCUGGGCCACCGUGGCCUGCCAGUCGAAGGCGGUCUCGUCCCAGGCGUUGAUGGUCAUGGGCCAGCCGCCGAACUGGUCCAGGAAGUCAGUGAGCGGCGUGACGCCCCGGGCCUCCAGCUGCGGCUCGUCCAUGCAGCCCAGGUAGAAUUUUUUGGCCUUGUUGAUGGGCGCAGGGUCCUGGGCGUCGAUGGGUUCCUCCAGGAUAGUGCCCAACGCGUUGGACAGCUCGCGGGCCAGCACGUCGAACUGAGCCCAGCGGGAUGAGUCCUCGGGCACCGGGUUGCUGUUGAUCCAGCCGCCGCAUGCGAACUGGUAGAAGUUGUCACAGGGGUCAA